This is a long non-coding RNA of Bradysia coprophila, 733 nucleotides long. RefSeq lists it as uncharacterized. Lineage: Eukaryota; Metazoa; Arthropoda; Insecta; Diptera; Sciaridae. The record is from RefSeq and is a predicted model, not a curated record.
ACAUUCUUUCAGUGAUUCCAAACGUCCUGUAUAGGGACGCACCGAUUUGAUCUAACACAAGAUUUUUAUCCAACUGAGUUUGUUUAAUUUCGCAAGAGACUUUGUUCUGAAUUUUGUCUGAUCGAAGCUACCGGAGUCAAGGGAUUUGGCUUAAGUCAUUUUGCUUAGGUCAGUUUUCGAGUUUCGGUUUGUAAUGUUGUGCAAGAAGUAGUCACUACUUAGUAGUGGGUGUGGACACGGUCGCUGAAGGUCGCACCACAAAAUCUAGCGAAUGGGAGUCACACUCUUUUCUCGAAUGAGCCCCGGAAUGAGCACAAAAUCAAUAUGAUCGUUUUAACCGUAUAAGUAAAAAAACAGUCAGAGUUUCUGUUCCCCAUGGCGGGACCAAGAAAAUGGAAAGACUGUGGGGGUGCCUUUUCUCCGUAGGCAAUAAACACAAUGCAAUUCUGUUCCCUAUUCAUAAAUAUCGUCCGCGUGUAUUUCGAUGACACUUUUAUGGUUCAUAACUCACAAAAUGCAAGGCCAGUAUAAAUAGAGAGAUACAAAACAACCGUGGAUGCCGCCAUACACAUCAAUAAACAAAUUAAUUAUGGACAGAAAUGAAAAGUUCAACGUUCAACUAAUUCCGAAAAUAGAGUUGACUAUGGCAAGUUGCAAAAUUCUACACCAAACUCAACCCAACAACGGUAUUUUACUUACACACAAUACAGUUUGGUGACUGCUAAAAUCGAUC